Molecule: ribosomal RNA, 484 nt
Filed under: uncultured bacterium
Lineage: Bacteria
Description: partial 16S ribosomal RNA
Rfam family: Bacterial small subunit ribosomal RNA
Source: RNAcentral
AUUGAACGCUGGCGGCAUGCCUUACACAUGCAAGUCGAACGGCAGCAUGAUCUUUCUUCCUGGAUUGAUGGCGGGUGGCGUGCGGGUUAGUUAUACAUCGGCACGUGCCCGGUGGAUGGGGUUAACUAGCCGGAAGUUAUACUACUACCGCCCACGACCAGAAGGUGGAAGAUGGUGGCAGCUCGGGCUCACGCUUUAGCCUAGGUCGGAUUAGCUAGUUGGUGGGGUAAAGGCAUACCAAGGCGACGAUCAGUAGCUGGUCUGAGAGGACGAUCAGCCACACUGGAACUGAGACACGGCCCAGACUCCUACGGGAGGCAGCAGUGGGGAAUUUUGGACAAUGGGCGAAAGCCUGAUCCAGCAAUGCCGCGUGUGUGAAGAAGGCCUUCGGAUUGUAAAGCACUUUUGUCCGGAAAGAAAUGGAGCUGGUUAAUACCUGGCGUCGAUGACGGUACCGGAAGAAUAAGGACCGGCUAACUACGUG